UACGGGGGGAGCAAGCGUUGUUCGGAUUUACUGGGCGUAAAGGGCGCGUAGGCGGCCAGCACAAGUCAGUUGUGAAAUCUCCGAGCUUAACUCGGAACGGUCAACUGAUACUGUGCGGCUAGAGUGCAGAAGGGGCAACUGGAAUUCUUGGUGUAGCGGUGAAAUGCGUAGAUAUCAAGAGGAACACCUGCGGCGAAGGCGGGUUGCUGGGCUGACACUGACGCUGAGGCGCGAAAGCAUGGGGAGCGAACAGG
This 254-nucleotide ribosomal RNA is filed under the name uncultured bacterium. Its description in RNAcentral is "partial 16S ribosomal RNA". It matches the Rfam family "Bacterial small subunit ribosomal RNA", at positions 524 to 776 of the family's 1533-position model. The record is from RNAcentral.